RNAcentral lists this ribosomal RNA (1500 nucleotides) under metagenome. Its description in RNAcentral is "bacterial LSU rRNA". It matches the Rfam family "Bacterial large subunit ribosomal RNA", at positions 1277 to 2905 of the family's 2925-position model. The record is from RNAcentral.
UUAGAUCAGAAGCGAGAAUGUUGACAUGAGUAGCGAUAAAGAGGGUGAGAGACCCUCUCGCCGUAAGUCCAAGGGUUCCUGCUUAAAGCUAAUCUGAGCAGGGUAAGCCGGCCCCUAAGGCGAGGCCGAAAGGCGUAGUCGAUGGGAACCAGGUUAAUAUUCCUGGGCCAGGAGGAAGUGACGGAUCUCGAAGGUAGUUUGCCCUUAUCGGAUUGGGUGGGCUGCUCAGAGGUUCCAGGAAAUAGCCCUCCAUCAGACCGUACCCUAAACCGACACAGGUGGGCUGGUAGAGUAUACCAAGGCGCUUGAGAGAACCACGUUAAAGGAACUCGGCAAAAUGCCUCCGUAAGUUCGCGAGAAGGAGGCCCCAUAUGUGCGCAAGCAUGUGUGGGGGGCACAAACUAGGGGGUGGCGACUGUUUACUUAAAACACAGGGCUGUGCGAAGCCGUAAGGCGACGUAUACAGUCUGACGCCUGCCCGGUGCUGGAAGGUUAAAAGGAGGGGUGCAAGCUCUGAAUUGAAGCCCCAGUAAACGGCGGCCGUAACAAUAACGGUCCUAAGGUAGCGAAAUUCCUUGUCGGGUAAGUUCCGACCUGCACGAAUGGCGUAACGAUCUCCCCGCUGUCUCUAACGUGGACUCAGCGAAAUUGAACUGUGUGUCAAGAUGCACACUACCCGCGGUUAGACGGAAAGACCCCAUGCACCUUUACUCCAGCUUUGCACUGGUAUCAGGAUUGUGAUGUGCAGGAUAGGUGGUAGGCAUCGAAGCGGGGACGCCAGUUCUCGUGGAGCCUCCCUUGAGAUACCACCCUUCGCCAUCUUGAUAUCUAACCGCGGCCCGUUAUCCGGGUCCGGGACCCUGCAUGGUGGGGAGUUUGACUGGGGCGGUCGCCUCCCAAACAGUAACGGAGGCGCGCGAAGGUAGGCUCAGACCGGUCGGAAAUCGGUCGUUGAGUGCAAUGGCAGAAGCCUGCCUGACUGCAAGUCUGACAAGACGAGCAGAGACGAAAGUCGGUCAUAGUGAUCCGGUGGUCCCAAGUGGGAGGGCCAUCGUUCAACGGAUAAAAGGUACGCUGGGGAUAACAGGCUGAUGAUGCCCAAGAGUCCAUAUCGACGGCAUCGUUUGGCACCUCGAUGUCGGCUCAUCUCAUCCUGGGGCUGGAGCAGGUCCCAAGGGUAUGGCUGUUCGCCAUUUAAAGAGGUACGUGAGCUGGGUUUAGAACGUCGUGAGACAGUUCGGUCCCUAUCUGCCGUGGGUGUAGGAGACUUGAGAAGAGUUGCCCCUAGUACGAGAGGACCGGGGUGAACGAACCACUGGUGGACCAGUUGUCGUGCCAACGGCAGUGCUGGGUAGCUAUGUUCGGACAGGAUAACCGCUGAAGGCAUCUAAGCGGGAAGCCCCCUUCAAAACAAGGUCUCCCUUGAGAGCCGUGGAAGACCACCACGUUGAUAGGCCGGAGGUGUAAGUGCAGCAAUGCAUUCAGCUGACCGGUACUAAU